This 1320-nucleotide ribosomal RNA is filed under the name uncultured bacterium. Its description in RNAcentral is "16S ribosomal RNA". It matches the Rfam family "Bacterial small subunit ribosomal RNA", at positions 94 to 1426 of the family's 1533-position model. The record is from RNAcentral.
AGUGGCGGACGGGUGAGUAACAUGUAGGGAAUCUACCCUGGGGAUGGGGACAACAGUUGGAAACGGCUGCUAAAACCCGAUACGAGUGCAGUUGAGAUACAGUACUUAAAAACUCCGGUGCCCUCUGGGAUGAGCCUGCACCUGAUUAGCUAGUUGGUGGUGUAAUGGACUACCAAGGCGACGAUCAGUAGCUGGUUUGAGAGGAUGAUCAGCCACAAUGGGACUGAGACACGGCCCAUACUCCUACGGGAGGCAGCAGUAGGGAAUUUUGCGCAAUGGGGGAAACCCUGACGCAGCAACGCCGCGUGGACGAAGAAGCCCUUCGGGGUGUAAAGUUCUGUCAGUGGGGACGAAUGAAUGACGGUACCCACAGAGGAAGCACCGGCUAACUCCGUGCCAGCAGCCGCGGUAAUACGGAGGGUGCAAGCGUUGUCCGGAAUCAUUGGGCGUAAAGCGUUCGUAGGCGGCAUAUCAAGUCUGGUGUUAAAGGCAAAGGCUCAACUUUUGUAGGGCACUGGAUACUGGUAAGCUGGAAUGCGGUAGAGGUUAAGGGAAUUCCUGGUGUAGCGGUGAAAUGCGUAGAUAUCAGGAGGAACAUCGGUGGCGUAAGCGCUUAACUGGGCCGUAAUUGACGCUGAGGAACGAAAGCCAGGGUAGCAAACGGGAUUAGAUACCCCGGUAGUCCUGGCCGUAAACGAUGGAUACUAGGUGUUGCGGGUAUCGACCCCUGCAGUGCCGAAGCCAACGCGAUAAGUAUCCCGCCUGGGGAGUACGCACGCAAGUGUGAAACUCAAAGGAAUUGACGGGGACCCGCACAAGCGGUGGAACAUGUGGUUUAAUUCGAAGCAACGCGAAGAACCUUACCAGGGCUUGACAUCUAGCUAAACCCGGAUGAAAGUUUGGGGAGCCAGCAAUGGAGAGCUAAGACAGGUGGUGCACGGUUGUCGUCAGCUCGUGUCGUGAGAUGUUGGGUUAAGUCCCGCAACGAGCGCAACCCACGUUACUAGUUGGUGUUAUGUUAAACUAGAGCUCUCUAGUGAGACUGCCGGUGAUAAACCGGAGGAAGGUGUGGACGACGUCAAAUCAUCAUGCCCCUUAUGCCCUGGGCUACACACGUGUUACAAUGGGUAGGACAAAGAGAAGCGAACUUGCGAGAGAGAGCAAAACUCACAAACCUACUCUCAGUUCGGAUCGUAGUCUGCAACUCGACUACGUGAAGUCGGAAUCGCUAGUAAACGCAGAUCAGCACGCUGCGUUGAAUACGUUCCCGGGCCUUGUACACACCGCCCGUCACACCACGAAAGUUGGUAACACCCGAAG